This 229-nucleotide ribosomal RNA is filed under the name uncultured bacterium. RNAcentral's name for it is "partial 16S ribosomal RNA". It matches the Rfam family "Bacterial small subunit ribosomal RNA", at positions 568 to 796 of the family's 1533-position model. The record is from RNAcentral.
UGCGUAGGCGGGGCAAUUAGUCAGUGGUGAAAUCCUGCGGCUUAACCGUAGAACUGCCAUUGAUACUGUUGCCCUUGAGUAUAGUUGAGGUGGGCGGAAUGUGUAAUGUAGCGGUGAAAUGCAUAGAGAUUACACAGAACACCAAUUGCGAAGACAGCUCACUAAGCUAUAACUGACGCUGAGGCACGAAAGCGUGGGGAGCGAACAGGAUUAGAUACCCUGGUAGUCC